AAAGUUGAGUAUCCUAAAAAUGACGUUAUUUAUCUCAACAUUCAAAAACUAGAGACAGGAUAUAAAAUUAGUCAAAUAAGCCCACCCACACUGCGGAAUUACCUUCAUCUGAAACUUCCAUGUGUGCGCAUUCGAGAAUGUAGCACAACACCAGAAUGUUUGUUCAAAUACUUCAAAAUUCAAUUUUGAGGAUUAGAGUUCUUGAGUGAAGUUGGGCAUAGCAUACCAAAAACCAAGGCCGAAUGUCUUUCACUUCAUUCUUGAAUUGAUUUUGAGGGUGUUAGUGUUCUUGAGGUAAAAUUGGGAAUCAAAUGGUUUGUGGAAGAUGCUUAGGGUUCUUUGCGAUUUGUGUUAGGAGCAUAUAUCUUAUUUACAUGAUUGGGAGAAAUUGAUAGCCCAUGCUUUGUCAAGUCUUGUAUAAUAAAGGUGAAGUCGUGUGUUGUUAAACGUAACCCCAAUCCUCGACGCCAGGUUCAGAGCGCUACAGCGUCGAGAGAUACUGAUGAGGCACCACCCUAAUGGUGCUGCGGCCACACCUUCCAAAUUGACGCGGCGCUGCAUUCUAGGCGCCACAGCCACACACAGAUGCAUUAGGGCGCAAAUUUUGGCUCUUUUUGAGUCCAUAUGAAAAUCCCAUCCUUUAUACACGACAGAGGAUCUAUAAAUACGAAAACUCUCACACUUUGAGGGUUUCACACACUUUGAGGGGUUCCACACAUUAGGUGACAAUAAUCACAUCUUGGGAGAAAAAGGGGAGAGAUUCAAAGGGAGAAAACAACGACAAAUUCAUCGCGUGAAGCAUUAAUUGGAAGAGGAAGGAAUUCUUGGUGUAAGAUCUACUUUUUCUUCUAUAUAUUUAAUCCUAAAUCCGGUGAUGUACUCUAAGACAAUAUGUUGUUUUUUUUUCUUUUAUUAUGCAUAGCUAAAUCUAUAGCUAUGGUGAAUAA
This 947-nucleotide long non-coding RNA is filed under the name Olea europaea subsp. europaea. Lineage: Eukaryota; Viridiplantae; Streptophyta; Magnoliopsida; Lamiales; Oleaceae. The record is from RNAcentral.